AGUUCUCUUGCCUUCAGGAGCUCGUCCAAUGUAGUAUACCAAGGUCUUCUUCAUCCCAAUUUUUGCUCCCUUCUUAGUAGCAAUGUUCCUAUCUUUACCCGUAGCUUUCCAGUAGCCUCGUUCUGUUGCUCGGUUCAAUCGCUGCCCAUUUUGGUACUUCCGAUCAAUGGGACAGAAGAAGAACCAAUCAUUGUCCUUCGACUCUACCACAGACAAAUCUGUGAAAAUUUGAAACAAUUUAUACAAUUAUGUUCUUUUUUAAUCCUAUGAACUUCAACGCUACAAAGAGAAAGGUUUUUUUUUGUUGUCCGAGUUUCUGAGCUGUAACUACACAGAAAUAAAGUGUGGGUGCAGGGAAAGCUGAACCCUGAAUUCCUUUAAAGUAAAAAAUAAUACAAUAAACAUCAUCAGAGUAUACCAAAUUGAAUCACAUUGGUACAAACGAUAUUUAGUGGAACGAAAACCUUGAUUAUUUUAGCGCUAUCUAGCUUUGUUUAGCCAUUAUUUUCUUUCAAAAUGUUUACUUCAUCUUUCCAAAAAGAAUGUGUUGUUUUGGGAUCUGGCCUGUGACAGAUACGACCAAAAAAGACACAAUCAAAAGUGUGUACAUGUGUUAGGGUUGUCAAGGGAGGUAAGUGUUUCAGGGAUGAUCUAAUCACCAAAUCGAAAUUUAGCGAAGAAACUGUCUAAGCAUAUAAUAUGGAGGCACACUGAAAUGUCAAUAAUCAGCAGAAUGAAAACAAAGAAUAUUUUGUUCUCAUCUAUCUUCGUUCAUUCAACAAUAACACCUAGCACCAAAUUUUGAGUUGUCGAACAACAGAGUGCCAAGGCUAACCAGUACAAUCCUUCCUACUGUGGAAAUCAAUUUUCAGUGGAAUAUUUCCGCAAUCUUUUUCUCAUUUUUCUUUUUCUUAAUGGAAAGUACAUUUGCCUAACCAUAUGACUUACUCUAGUUGGGAAACGGGUUAUUCGCCCAAGUACUCCAAUCUUAUCCUUGAAAAUGAGAAAAAUAGGUCUUAAGAUUUAACCCCACCCCAACUGUAUCAGUAUAUAUCUAACUUAAAUAUAAAUGUGUUUCACUACCUUAUGUGCUAGCGGAUUCUGUGAAAAUAAACUCGAAAAGCCUAACGAAGCCAAAAAAUAAGAAUCAAUUAGAUAUCAAGCUUCAAGGCUAAGUAAUUUUUGACGCCAAGCAUCAGCCUUUCUAAUAAAUGAAAGCCGAGACUACUCACAGCAACGGAUUUCCCGGCAAGAUAUAACAAAAAUAUUAGGGUUCAGGGUUCAACACAACUCCAAAUUGGGGCAUAACACGCACAAAAAUUAAAUUAUUAAUUAAUUAAGAUAAGCAGGGAAACUAACCAGGCAAGUCCCAAGGUUCGAGUUUACAGAUAUCAACUUCUCGAAUAACGCUGACUUCACUAUCGGCACCGUUGAUCUUCAACCGCAAAUAAUGAUUCACUAGCUCCUCAUCCGUCGGCCGGAAACGGUAUCCUACCGGCAGAGUAUUUAAAGGCGGUAUACCCAUCUGUCUAUCCACCGGAAGUACAGCGAUCACGUUAUCUCCAGGAAGUACGGCCAUCAUUUACCGCAUCAAGUUUUUGCAAAGUUGAGAUGGGCAAAAAAGUGAAAAAAGCAAAAAGUAGAUGAACUGAUGAAUAUAUAAUUAUAAAGAGUAAAAAGUAAAAGUAAUCAAGCUAGAUCUAGAAAAAUUCUAUUGGGAAUUUUUAGAGAGGAGAUUCUGAAGUGAAGUGGCUAUGGUUAAGUUUUCACAAGAAGGAAAAAAAUCUCCAUUGGAAACAUCUCAGAAAU
This 1809-nucleotide long non-coding RNA is filed under the name Nicotiana benthamiana. RNAcentral describes it as "long non-coding RNA (NBEN_LNC032554)". Lineage: Eukaryota; Viridiplantae; Streptophyta; Magnoliopsida; Solanales; Solanaceae. The record is from RNAcentral.